UGCCGCUUGCGAGGGCGUAUGGUGGAUGCCUUGGCAGACAGUACCGAUGAAGGACGUUUGAGGAUGCGAUAAUCCUAGGGGAGCCUCCAACAUGGCUUUGAUCCUAGGGUCUCCGAAUGGGGGAACCCGCCGGCCGUCAUGGGCCGGCACCGCCUAUGGGCGGGGGGUACGCAGGGAAGUGAAACAUCUCAGUACCUGCAGGAAGGGAUACUCCGUGAGUAGUGGCGAGCGAAAGCGGAUCAGACCAAACCGGUUGCGCGUGAUACCCGUCGGGGGUUGCGUUGCCGGUGUUGUGGGAUCACGUGUCCCGGUUCCGACGGGCCGGGCGGGAGUCAUAAAACGGCUUGCCAGGGGAACAGGCUUGAAGGCCUGGCCGUAGAGGGUGCCAGCCCCGUACCUGGACGUGAGCCGUCUUCCGAUCGUGUUGUCCCAAGUAGCGCGGGCCUCGUGGAAUCCCGCGUGAAUCAGCCCAGACCGUUGGGUAAGUCUAAGCAUACCUGUCUGACCGAUAGCGUACCAGUACCGUGAGGGAAAGGUGAAAAGCACCCCGGGAGGGGAGUGAAACAGUUCCUGAAACCGUGCGCCCACAAACCGUCGGAGCCUCUGUGUGGGGUGACGGCGUGCCUAUCGAAAAAUGAGUCUGCGAGUCAGUGGCGGGUGGCGAGCAUAAGCCGUGUGGCGUAUGCGUAGCGAAAGCGAGUCUUAAAAGGCGUUUUUAGUCGCUUGUCCUGGACCCGAAGCGGGAUGAUCUAGCCCUGGGCAGGUUGAAGCGCGGGUAAGACCGCGUGGAGGACCGAACCCACCUGGGUUGAAAACCGGGGGGAUGACCUGGGGCUAGGGGUGAAAGGCCAAUCAAAUUCCGUGAUAGCUGGUUCUCUCCGAAAUGCAUUUAGGUGCAGCGUCGGUCGAUUGCGUCGCGGGGGUAGAGCUACCGGAUGCUUGCGGGCCCUUGUUGGGUACCAACAGCAGCCGAACUCCGAAUACCGUUGACGUGUAUUCCGGCAGUGAGUCGGCGGGGGAUAAGCUCCGUCGUCGAGAGGGAGACAGCCCAGACCGUCGUCUAAGGUCCCGAAGCGUGUGCUAAGUGGGAAAGGAUGUGGAGUCGCAUAGACAGCCAGGAGGUUGGCUCAGAAGCAGCCAUCCUUGAAAGAGUGCGUAACAGCUCACUGGUCUAGUGGUUCCGCGCCGACAAUGUAGCGGGGCUCAAGCACACCACCGAAGACGCGGCAGCAAUCUUCAUGGUUGCUGGGUAGGAGAGCGUCCUGCGAGGGGCGAAGCGGCGGUGGAAACCGGCCGUGGACUUCGUGGGAGUGAGAAUGCAGACAUGAGUAGCGAGAGACGGGUGAGGAUCCCGUCCGCUGGAUGACCAAGGGUUCCGGGGCCACGUUCGUCGUCCCCGGGUGAGUCGGGUCCUAAGGCGAGGCCGACAGGCGUAGUCGAAUGGAUGAACGGGUGGAUAUUCCCGUACCGACCAUGGACCGGCAAAACCGAGACGGUGAGUACUAACCUCCGCCUCGUGGUGGUUCCUUCCUUCGGGUUGGUGUCGCCGCGUGGUGUUGGGAGCGUAGCCGCAGUAGGUCAGCGCAGGGGUGACACGGAAUGGGAGCCGGCCGCGGAGGUGGUUUUCCGUGGUCAAGCACGCAGCCAGUCAUGUAGGCAAAUCCGCAUGGCGCGCAUGGCGAGGUGUGAUGAUGGGAGCCGUUGUGGCUCGAUAUCCGGUUGUCCAGGCCGUCGAGAAAAGCCUCGGCGUGAGGGCCAUGGCCGCCCGUACCCCAAACCGACACUGGUGGUCAGGUAGAGAAUACCAAGGCGAUCGAGCGAAUCCUGGUCAAGGAACUCGGCAAAUCACUCCCGUGCCUUCGGUAUAAGGGAGACCCGCUGGGGUGAACCGGCUAGCCCGGGGAGCUUUGGUGGGUGGCACAGACCAGGGGGUAGCGACUGUUUACCAAAAACACAGGUGCAUGCGAAGGCGAAAGCCGCUGUAUAUGCACUGACGCCUGCCCGGUGCCGGAAGGUUAAGAGGAUCCGUCAAUCCCUUCGGGGACGAAGCGGUGAAUUCAAGCCCCGGUAAACGGCGGUGGUAACUAUAACCAUCCUAAGGUAGCGAAAUUCCUUGUCGGGUAAGUUCCGACCUGCACGAAUGGCGUA
This 2148-nucleotide ribosomal RNA is filed under the name human gut metagenome. RNAcentral describes it as "bacterial LSU rRNA". It matches the Rfam family "Bacterial large subunit ribosomal RNA", at positions 1 to 2003 of the family's 2925-position model. The record is from RNAcentral.